This is a long non-coding RNA of Suricata suricatta (meerkat), 1053 nucleotides long. RefSeq lists it as uncharacterized. NCBI's taxonomy places the organism in Eukaryota, Metazoa, Chordata, Mammalia, Carnivora, Herpestidae. The record is from RefSeq and is a predicted model, not a curated record. The transcript is spliced from 4 exons.
CCCGGUGCCCCCACCCCUCCGGCCCCCACAGCAGUCGUGUUCAUUGUGUGCCGAAAGGAAGAUGAGGAAACGGAGGCUCAGAGAGAGCACGAGACCUGCCCAAGACCGCACCACCACGGAGUGGCUGGGACUCGGAUGCAGGUUCCUUCCGGUUCUUCUAAUAAAGGUCAAGGCUGCGUGCCUUGGGGAGGACCAAACCAGCCCAGGUCAAGAGUUUAGCAUGGCACCAGGCACACAGGCACCUCUUAUAAUUGGGGCUCUGCACCUUUGUCUUGCUGUGCUGGCCGUCCGUAUUCUUCUUUGGUAUGGGGAGACUGAGGAACAGAGAGUGGAAGCAUCUGCUGUCCUGCUGUCCCAGGACAGUAUGUGCCACACAGUGUCGGGAAAAGUCUGUGGGACUGGCUUGUUUGAGACCAAUAACCCAGUGCUUGAGCUUCAGUUUUUGUUCUGUUAAAUCUGGACAGGUGGCCGCUUGGCGCACAAAAUCUUGCAUGUUUCCAGCGGGUUUUUCUGUAAAAGAACAGCCCCAGAGGAAGAACUGGAUUAAUGACUUUUCCUGGCAGCCCCACGCCAGAACAGACUCAGGUGCCAGGCUGCAGGAGACUUGACUUGGUGCUUUUCAACAAGAUCAAUGGAAAAACCUGAAAUAUAACUGUAGAGCCGCAGAGCCUCAAGUCUGAAAGCCUCAACAGACUUUUGUUUAAUUUCAGCUGGACAAAGAGCACAGACUUGGUUUCAGACAUCAGCUCUAUCUCUUUCUAGCUGUGUAGCUUUGGCAAAGUGACCUAACCUCUCUGGGUCCAUGCAGUUUCCUCAUCUGGAAAAGAAGAAUAACAUCAUCUUCCGCUCAAAGGUUUAAAUGAAAUAUGCAAACCAAUUGCCAGAGUGCUGGACACUGGAAGUAGGAGUGUCUGUUUUACAAAGUGGAAGGAAAAAAAGAAGGAAGGAAGGAGGAAGGCAAGGAAGGAAGGAAGGAGAGAGGGAAGGAGGAAAGAAAGGAAGGAAGGAAGGAAGGAAGGAAAGAAACCUAACAGAUUCAGGUUCCAAAGACGC